Solenopsis invicta (red fire ant) is the source of this 1055-nucleotide RNA transcript. It is a transcript of the gene named putative fatty acyl-CoA reductase CG5065, with no coding region annotated. The transcript has 4 exons. Lineage: Eukaryota; Metazoa; Arthropoda; Insecta; Hymenoptera; Formicidae. The record is from RefSeq and is a predicted model, not a curated record.
AUGGCUACAACGAAAGCACAACUUAACUCGGGACACGCACACGAUGAGACUCACUCGAGAGGAAGUACGAUCGAUGCAUUCUUCGCCGGGACGAUGAUCCUUUUAACCGGCGCUACGGGCUUCUUGGGGAAAGCCCUUUUGGAAAAGCUGCUGCGCUCGUGUCCUGUGGCCGCAAUUUUCGUUUUGAUCCGUCCGAAAAAACAGAAAUCCAUCGAGCAACGUUUCGAGGAACUACUGAAUAGUCCCGUUUAUCAGUGCUUGCAACAAUCUGCACAUUUCGGGUCGAUUCCUGAAGCGACGCCCACUACUUCCCCCACUACCGCUCGCCGCUCGAAGGUUGAACUCGCAAAUACACAGGAGGUGCUCUGCCGAGUGGUAGUGGGGGGAGCAGUGGGCGUCACUUCAGGAAUCGACCCUAAAUAUGCAGAUCGUUGCAAGCAUUGUCGUAGAAAUGAAUUUGAAUACCUUGUAAAAAAAUAUUCUACUCCAUCAAAACCCGUGAUGUGGUAUCCAGGUUUCACAUUGAGAACAAACAAAUUUAUUCACGCCAUUAUUAGGGCAAUAUUACAUUUUCUGCCUGCCUUCAUCCUAGAUUUGAUAUCAAGAGCCCGAGGCCACAAACCCAUAAUGAUGAAGUUAACCAAACGGAUAGACCGCCCAAACUGGAGAAUUCUUUUCAACAAAUGAAUGGAAAUUGAAUAUCAGCAACAUGAUGAUAUUAAUGAAAUUUGUAAGCAAGAGGAAAUUGGUAGAAACUUUUUGAAGUUAACAUACAAAAUAUGAAUUGGGAUAUGUAUUUACAACGGUACAUAUUAGGAAUCCGUAAAUAUAUCUUGAAAGAAAAUCUGGACACUUUACCUUAUGCUCAAAGUCGAUUAAAAAGGUAAGUAUUCUAAUUUUGUAAAAUAAGAAAAUUUUCACGAAGGUUAUAAUUUUUCUCAACACUUUUCAUAUAAUCUUUUAGACCUUUUAUGUGUAUUUUAGAAUUUCUAUAAUUUUAAAAUUUCUCAAAUUUCUUAUACAGAUCUUUGAAUAUUUUGCAAUUAACAUAUAUG